This 253-nucleotide ribosomal RNA is filed under the name uncultured bacterium. RNAcentral's name for it is "partial 16S ribosomal RNA". It matches the Rfam family "Bacterial small subunit ribosomal RNA", at positions 524 to 776 of the family's 1533-position model. The record is from RNAcentral.
GACAGAGGGUGCAAGCGUUGUUCGGAAUUAUUGGGCGUAAAGGGCGCGUAGGCGGCUGAGCAAGUCGAACGUGAAAUCCCUGGGCUUAACCCAGGAAGUGCAUUUGAUACUGCUCAACUUGAGUCCCGGAGAGGGUGGUGGAAUUCCCAGUGUAGAGGUGAAAUGCGCAGAUAUCAGGAGGAACACCGGUGGCGAAGGCGGGUCUCUGGGCCGAUACUGACACUGAGGAGCGAAAGCCAGGGGAGCAAACGGG